This 1542-nucleotide ribosomal RNA is filed under the name Salmonella enterica subsp. enterica serovar Thompson. Its description in RNAcentral is "bacterial SSU rRNA". It matches the Rfam family "Bacterial small subunit ribosomal RNA". Lineage: Bacteria; Pseudomonadati; Pseudomonadota; Gammaproteobacteria; Enterobacterales; Enterobacteriaceae. The record is from RNAcentral. RNAcentral also lists the same sequence under 31 other names.
AAAUUGAAGAGUUUGAUCAUGGCUCAGAUUGAACGCUGGCGGCAGGCCUAACACAUGCAAGUCGAACGGUAACAGGAAGCAGCUUGCUGCUUCGCUGACGAGUGGCGGACGGGUGAGUAAUGUCUGGGAAACUGCCUGAUGGAGGGGGAUAACUACUGGAAACGGUGGCUAAUACCGCAUAACGUCGCAAGACCAAAGAGGGGGACCUUCGGGCCUCUUGCCAUCAGAUGUGCCCAGAUGGGAUUAGCUAGUUGGUGAGGUAACGGCUCACCAAGGCGACGAUCCCUAGCUGGUCUGAGAGGAUGACCAGCCACACUGGAACUGAGACACGGUCCAGACUCCUACGGGAGGCAGCAGUGGGGAAUAUUGCACAAUGGGCGCAAGCCUGAUGCAGCCAUGCCGCGUGUAUGAAGAAGGCCUUCGGGUUGUAAAGUACUUUCAGCGGGGAGGAAGGUGUUGUGGUUAAUAACCGCAGCAAUUGACGUUACCCGCAGAAGAAGCACCGGCUAACUCCGUGCCAGCAGCCGCGGUAAUACGGAGGGUGCAAGCGUUAAUCGGAAUUACUGGGCGUAAAGCGCACGCAGGCGGUCUGUCAAGUCGGAUGUGAAAUCCCCGGGCUCAACCUGGGAACUGCAUUCGAAACUGGCAGGCUUGAGUCUUGUAGAGGGGGGUAGAAUUCCAGGUGUAGCGGUGAAAUGCGUAGAGAUCUGGAGGAAUACCGGUGGCGAAGGCGGCCCCCUGGACAAAGACUGACGCUCAGGUGCGAAAGCGUGGGGAGCAAACAGGAUUAGAUACCCUGGUAGUCCACGCCGUAAACGAUGUCUACUUGGAGGUUGUGCCCUUGAGGCGUGGCUUCCGGAGCUAACGCGUUAAGUAGACCGCCUGGGGAGUACGGCCGCAAGGUUAAAACUCAAAUGAAUUGACGGGGGCCCGCACAAGCGGUGGAGCAUGUGGUUUAAUUCGAUGCAACGCGAAGAACCUUACCUGGUCUUGACAUCCACAGAACUUUCCAGAGAUGGAUUGGUGCCUUCGGGAACUGUGAGACAGGUGCUGCAUGGCUGUCGUCAGCUCGUGUUGUGAAAUGUUGGGUUAAGUCCCGCAACGAGCGCAACCCUUAUCCUUUGUUGCCAGCGGUUAGGCCGGGAACUCAAAGGAGACUGCCAGUGAUAAACUGGAGGAAGGUGGGGAUGACGUCAAGUCAUCAUGGCCCUUACGACCAGGGCUACACACGUGCUACAAUGGCGCAUACAAAGAGAAGCGACCUCGCGAGAGCAAGCGGACCUCAUAAAGUGCGUCGUAGUCCGGAUUGGAGUCUGCAACUCGACUCCAUGAAGUCGGAAUCGCUAGUAAUCGUGGAUCAGAAUGCCACGGUGAAUACGUUCCCGGGCCUUGUACACACCGCCCGUCACACCAUGGGAGUGGGUUGCAAAAGAAGUAGGUAGCUUAACCUUCGGGAGGGCGCUUACCACUUUGUGAUUCAUGACUGGGGUGAAGUCGUAACAAGGUAACCGUAGGGGAACCUGCGGUUGGAUCACCUCCUUA